UACGGGAGGCAGCAGUGGGGAAUAUUGCACAAUGGGCGAAAGCCUGAUGCAGCUAUGCCUCGUGUAUGAAGAAGGCCUUAGGGUUGUAAAGUACUUUCAUCGGGGAGGAAAAACAAAACUAAUAAUUUUAUUUCUUGACGUUACCCGAAAAAGAAGCACCGGCUAACUCCGUGCCAGCAGCCGCGGUAAUACGGAGGGUGCUAGCGUUAAUCAGAAUUACUGGGCGUAAAGAGCACGUAGGUGGUUUUUUUAAGUCAGAUGUGAAAUCCCUGGGCUUAACCUGGAACUGCAUUUUGAAACUGAAAUACUAGAGUAUCGUAGAGGGAGGUAGAAUUCUAGGUGUAGCGGUGAAAUGCGUAGAUAUCUGGAGGAAUACCUGUGGCGAAAGCGGCCUCCUAAACGAAUACUGACACUGAGGGUGCGAAAGCGUGGGGAGCAAACAGGGAUUAGAUACC
Molecule: ribosomal RNA, 455 nt
Filed under: uncultured bacterium
Lineage: Bacteria
Description: bacterial SSU rRNA
Rfam family: Bacterial small subunit ribosomal RNA
Source: RNAcentral